This 497-nucleotide ribosomal RNA is filed under the name uncultured bacterium. RNAcentral describes it as "partial 16S ribosomal RNA". It matches the Rfam family "Bacterial small subunit ribosomal RNA", at positions 28 to 507 of the family's 1533-position model. The record is from RNAcentral.
GAUGAACGCUGGCGGCGUGCCUAAUACAUGCAAGUCGAGCGAACAGACGAGGAGCUUGCUCCUCUGACGUUAGCGGCGGACGGGUGAGUAACACGUGGAUAACCUACCUAUAAGACUGGGAUAACUUCGGGAAACCGGAGCUAAUACCGGAUAAUAUAUUGAACCGCAUGGUUCAAUAGUGAAAGACGGUUUUGCUGUCACUUAUAGAUGGAUCCGCGCCGCAUUAGCUAGUUGGUAAGGUAACGGCUUACCAAGGCAACGAUGCGUAGCCGACCUGAGAGGGUGAUCGGCCACACUGGAACUGAGGCACGGUCCAGACUCCUACGGGAGGCAGCAGUAGGGAAUCUUCCGCAAUGGGCGAAAGCCUGACGGAGCAACGCCGCGUGAGUGAUGAAGGUCUUCGGAUCGUAAAACUCUGUUAUUAGGGAAGAACAAAUGUGUAAGUAACUAUGCACGUCUCGACGGUACCUAAUCAGAAAGCCACGGCUAACUACGUG